UAGCCGUAAACGAUACUCGCUAGGUGUCGGCCACAGUGCGACCGUUGUCGGUGCCGUAGGGAAGCCGUGAAGCGAGCCACCUGGGAAGUACGGCCGCAAGGCUGAAACUUAAAGGAAUUGGCGGGGGAGCACCACAACGGGUGGAGCUUGCGGUUUAAUUGGACUCAACGCCGGGAAGCUCACCGGAUAAGACAGCGGAAUGAUUGCCGGGCUGAAGACCCUGCAUGACCAGCUGAGAGGUGGUGCAUGGCGUAGUCGUGU
This 261-nucleotide ribosomal RNA is filed under the name uncultured archaeon. Its description in RNAcentral is "partial 16S ribosomal RNA". It matches the Rfam family "Archaeal small subunit ribosomal RNA", at positions 748 to 1009 of the family's 1478-position model. The record is from RNAcentral.